Molecule: ribosomal RNA, 253 nt
Filed under: uncultured bacterium
Lineage: Bacteria
Description: partial 16S ribosomal RNA
Rfam family: Bacterial small subunit ribosomal RNA
Source: RNAcentral
UACGGAGGGUGCGAGCGUUGUCCGGAAUCACUGGGCGUAAAGGGCGCGUAGGCGGCCUGAUAAGUAGGGGGUGAAAUCCUGCGGCUUAACCGCAGGGCUGCCUUCUAAACUGUCAGGCUCGAGCACAGUAGAGGCAGGUGGAAUUCCCGGUGUAGCGGUGAAAUGCGUAGAGAUCGGGAAGAACAUCGGUGGCGAAAGCGCUCUACUGGACCGCAACUGACACUCAGGGACGAAAGCUAGGGGAGCGAAUGGG